UCGACCGCGCGCGAGGUCCGCCGCGUCGGCACUGGCGCCAGGAGUACCGCCUUGCUGACGCAAGCCCACCAGCUUGCAUCAGCAAGGACCUUUUUUUAAGUUAGAAAAUAAAUAGAAAUGAGUAGUAAUUAGGUAGAAAUUCAAUAGAUUUUUUGUAUAUGUGUUAGAAAAUCAAAUUAGUGUAAAUUAGUAGUAAUUAGUAGUAAUUAGGUUCGUCGCUCCGUCUAGGUUAGAAAUGAAUCGUGUUUCAUCAUGGUUCCGUCCCCGCCUCCGCCGUCCCGCCACCCUGACUGCCGCCGUCCCAAACUAGGCACCGUCCGUGGUUCCGUCCUCGCCUCCGCCGUCCCGCCUACGUUGCAAAUUCUUGCUAGAAAUUCGUACAAAUUCAUGUUAUUGCUAGAAAUUCGUACAAAAUUCAUGUUAUUGCUAGAAAUUCGUACAAAAUUCAUGUUAUUGCUAGAAAUUCGUAAAAGAUUCAUGUUAUUGCUAGAAAUUCCAAUAAAUAUGGACAAAUUAGUAGAAAUUUGGUAGAAAUUAAUCGUUGCUGCGGCCACCUCGCUCUGUCCCCGCCUCCACCGUUCCGCCGCCCUGGCCUCCGCCGUCCCAACCUAGGCACCGUCGACCGUGCAAAAUUCGUACAAAUUCAUGUUAUUGCUAGAAAUUCGUACAAAAUUCAUAUUAUUGCUAGAAAUUUGUACAAAUUCAUGUUAUUGCUAGAAAUUCGUACAAAGUACUACUAAUUUGUAGAAAUUUGUAUAAAUAUUCCGGACUUUGUGGGAUUC
RNAcentral lists this long non-coding RNA (782 nucleotides) under Setaria viridis. Its description in RNAcentral is "long non-coding RNA (SVIR_LNC005960)". The record is from RNAcentral. Lineage: Eukaryota; Viridiplantae; Streptophyta; Magnoliopsida; Poales; Poaceae.